This 1125-nucleotide long non-coding RNA is filed under the name Homo sapiens (human). RNAcentral describes it as "HSALNT0312701". The record is from RNAcentral. Lineage: Eukaryota; Metazoa; Chordata; Mammalia; Primates; Hominidae.
CGCACGUACGUUGAGAGGAGCGCACGUACGUUGAGAGGAGCGCACCGGAGAAAGAACACACGAGCUGCGGGACAGUGAGAGGAACACACUGGUAGAAGAGCACACAGGCAGCUGGAUGUCGAGAGGAGCGGAAGAGCACAGCGACAGGCACUGGUGUCGACCAGCGGAACGACGUGGAGUUUGGCCUGGGAGGUCAGAGAAGAAUUUGGCUGCUGGGCAGCCCCACUAUAGGGGAAAACCACCUUCCCACUCCAUUCCCCUUCUGAUCUCCCCAUCCACCUCGCUGAGAGCUACCACAACUCAAUAAAAAACCUAGCACUCGAUCUCCAAGCCCACAUGUGAUCCAAUUUUUCCCGUGCACUAAAGCAAGAACCUGGGAUACAGAAAGCCGUCUGUCCUUGUGAUAAGGCAGAGGGUCUAAUUGAGCUGAUUAACACAAGCCACCUGCGGACAGCUAAGCUGAAAAAGCAUCCUGUAACACACGCCCACUGGGGCCUCAGGAGGUGUAAACAUUCACCCCGAGAGGCUGCAUGGGUCCGCGCCCAUGGUCCCCAUGACUUGCCUGUUUGCCUGCUCUGGCUAAGGGUCUUGACCAGUGGGGCACUGAAGAAGCGAGCCACACCUCCAUCGUACGCCCUGCGAGGAGGGGUCUCACUCAGUGACCCAGGCUGAAUGCAGUGGAACAAUCAUGGCUUACUGUAGCCUUGACCUUGAGGGCUUAAGCAAUCCUGCCACCUCAGCCUGCCUAGUACUGGGACUACAGGUACGCGCCACCACGCCCAGAAACAUCAAAUAUAUUCAGCUCCCGUCUCUCUUCAACCAUGUAAAAUUAUUUCAACAACUAUCAGCUAUUGAAGGUGAAACUGGCAUGUCUGUUUGUUCUUCUCUUCCUGGUGUCAAAGACUCUUAAAGCAUGCAUAUAAAAUAUGAAAGUAAAUAAAACGUAAUCAAAAAUACUAACAUUCAAACAUUUACAUAUCAUUGUUCCUACUAUCCCUUUUUUCUCUGGAUCUCUAAUAGAAAUAACAGUUGGUGUCCAUCAAGUGUUAAGUGAAUAAAUAAAAAAUUACCAAAUUUUUAUAUUUGGUAUAUCUUAUAUUUCUAUAUCUAUACAAAGAAACCUUA